RNAcentral lists this ribosomal RNA (331 nucleotides) under uncultured eukaryote. Its description in RNAcentral is "partial 18S ribosomal RNA". It matches the Rfam family "Eukaryotic small subunit ribosomal RNA", at positions 1470 to 1796 of the family's 1831-position model. The record is from RNAcentral.
CCCUUAGAUGUUCUGGGCCGCACGCGCGCUACACUGUUCGACGCAGCGAGUCUUAACCUUGACCGAAAGGUUUGGGUAAUCUUCAGCAAAGUCGAACGUGAUGGGGAUCGAUCAUUGCAAUUAUUGAUCGUGAACGAGGAAUUCCUAGUAAGUGCAAGUCAUCAGCUUGCGCUGAUUACGUCCCUGCCCUUUGUACACACCGCCCGUCGCUACUACCGAUUGAAUGGUUGAGUGAGAUCUCUGGAUUGACGCUGGCUAGGGGGCGACCCUUGGCCAGGCUGUCGAGAAACUGCUCAAACUUGAUCAUUUAGAGGAAGUAAAAGUCGUAACA